CUGACCCUACGGGACGCAGCAGGAGGGGGACAGAGGACGGCAGCAGCAGAACGUGGCUCUUGUGGGGAGGCAGCAGCUACGCACCGGCAGGUUCAAUUUGAUUGCGUCCACGGGCUGGUAGAAGGGCCAGGCGAACUGGUGUUUCCAGAGCGUCUUCACCACCACAUUCUGCAUGUACUGCAGCUGGUUGGUCUUGCGGCCGGGCUUGGGGUUGGAGACCUCCGGGGGGGUGGGUUCACAGGGCCCGGGGUCGCUGGAUCCCCGCGGGGGCGACUGUCGUGGCGGUGGACACCCUCCGGCAGCUCACUCACUUUCUGCGGUCACAGCAGCGGCUUGGAGAGGCCCUGGCUGCUUCUAAGCUCCCUGAGAAAGCGCGACGUCCCAUUUCCGGGCCCAACCAGGCGACAGCUGCAGAGGAGGAAGCACAACAGAGAGGAAGGCCAGUCACCCUGGGACCCCCACCUCUCCCAGCCUCGGCGGGCUCCUGAGGGCACCUGUCGGGCCUCAGCAGGCCUGCUCCACUCACCCCCAUUACCCAGCCACCCAGGUGAGAGGCUGUCGGGAAAGCUGCUCAGGCGGAAGCGCGACCAGCUCAGAACGACUCUCCAACCACUGCUCUCAGGCACGGGAGGGAAGGCCUGGGCGGUGGAGGGAGCUCAGGCACAUGCCACUUGCCCCCAGGUGGGGGCUUGGGGAACACACUGGGGAGGCAGGUGUGCCAAGGGACUCAGCCACUGGCAGCCUUUCUGCCCACCAACCACCCACUCGUGGGGUCGACUCGUUGCUACUGGGCUCUGACAGCUUGGCCACAACAAUGUACUGAAGAGUGACCCAUGUGUGGACAGCCACGGUGCGGGCCCAACACAGCCAGGGGAAGUGGGGGCCGGCACAACACGGACGUUUGCAGACCCAAACACGGUGCGGGAGGUGGUGCCCUUGAGCGAGGCCAAGCAGUGAGGUUCUACUGUAACCAGGAGAACGGGCCCAGGUUUGUGAUGGCGGCGUGGCUGUGACCCGGCCUGACUCUCGGCCAAUCAGAGAGGCGGGAGUGGCGGCUCAGACCCUGCUGACCUCCACACCCCAGCUGACCACAGGGAGCUCUGCACACGCGAGAUGCUGGGGCUUCCCGGCCCCGACUGGCUAGCCACAGGCAGGGCUGGCAGGAGGAGGCCACCGCCACCCUGCGUGUCCCAGGAGGGCACGGACAGUUGAGAACGCCCAUAGGAACGCUGCACAGUGGAGAACGCAUGCAGGCCUCCGACCAUGGCCAGGGCCCUGCGGCGUGGCCCCGUGUCUACCUGUAAAGGUGUGGGGCAGACCCGAGGAGCUCUAACCCAGCGCCUGGGACUUCAACUCAGCCUCGUACCUUGCUGCCACUUGGGCCUUUCCUGCAGUCGUGUAACUGACAGUUAGACAGGUCACGGCUGGAGGCUCCCCGAGCACAGGCAGCAGCUCUGCCAUGGGAGGAGCCGGCUCCGGCCCCAGAACCGGCCACUUGUAGACGCUCUGGGGCAGACAGUCAAGACUAGGGGAAGUUUGUGAGCUGGGUGACAUCUGGUUGGUCCCCUGAAAUCUGCCUCGGUGGGCAGUUACACCACAGCCAUGGGCAAAUGCUGCAAACCAGGACCCUCCCCAAGCUGGAUGCCUCAAUGUCGUCAGCACCCUGCGUGUAUCCUCACUUCCUCCCACCCCACCCCAGAGAGGAAAGGGCUUCAAACUACACGCAACACAGCUCACCCACCAAGCAUGCCAGCACGAGAGAACGUGCCCCGCCUCUGGGGCGCCCACCUGUGCCAGGGCCUCAUCCAGGGAAGCCCCUCACACCCACCCUUCUAUGCCCCCUCCUGAGGUGAGCGGGAUGCCUCUCCACCUCACCGACCCGGUGCUCACAGCCCCAGGCUGCAACCCUGGUGCGGAGGGCAGCCCCAGGCCAAAGCGUGGCAGCACUGCCCCCUCGCCACCACCACUUGCAAGGACUUCCAUGAAGCUCCCAGCAGGGCUCCCCUGCUCUGCCCCGCAAGGACCGCCUAGCUCCGCACUGCAGGGUGAUCCUGUUAAAACCAAGUCGGAUCAAGUCACCGGUCUGCUCAAACCUCCCAGGGGCUCCACGUGACUCAGAGUGAAAGCGAGUCCCGCCCCACCCUGGUUGGUGGGGCCUGAAUGACCACUGAGUCCUGAGACCUGUGUCCUGUCCCCAGAUUUGCGGCCCUCCCUCAAGGCCUGGACAGCAGCAGGCUCCUGCCCUUCCAAGGCCUCCAGGGUGCAGCUCCCAGAACACCCUUCCUGCUGGCCCCCAGGCAGCACAGACACUGGGGCCAGCCACACGGCCUGGUCCUUCCACUUCCCCACGAGGCUCCUGAGGGUGGAGGAGUCAGGCACAGAGAGAGCUCACGCCAGUUAUGGGCACCAAGCACCACACGCAGCUCCGCUGAGACUGCCGGGCAGCACCCUGACAGAAGGCCCAGGCUGUGCUGCCGCCUCCCCGUAGGGUCCAGGACAUGGCUCAGAUUGAACGCUGGCGGUUGCUUACACAUGCAAGUCGAACGGCACGGACUUCGGUCUGGUGGCGAGUGGCGAACGGGUGAGUAAUGUAUCGGAACGUGCCUAGGGAAGCGGGGGAUAACUACGCGAAAGCGUAGCUAAUACCGCAUACCGCCCUUCGGGGGGAAAGCGGGGGACCUUCGGGCCUCGCACUAUUAGGAGCGGCCGAUAUCGGAUUAGCUAGUUGGUGGGGUAACGGCUCACCAAGGCGACGAUCCGUAGCUGGUUUGAGAGGACGACCAGCCACACUGGGACUGAGACACGGCCCAGACUCCUACGGGAGGCAGCAGUGGGGAAUUUUGGACAAUGGGGGAAACCCUGAUCCAGCCAUCCCGCGUGUGCGAUGAAGGCCUUCGGGUUGUAAAGCACUUUUGGCAGGAGAAGAAACGGCAUGGGAUAAUAACACCGUGCAACUGACGGUACCUGCAGAAUAAGCACCGGCUAACUACGUGCCAGCAGCCGCGGUAAGGAUGUAGGGUGCAAGGCAAUCAAAUUACUGGGCGUAAAGCGUGCGCAGGCGGUUCGGAAAGAAAGAUGUGAAAUCCCAGAGCUUAACUUUGGAACUGCAUUUUUAACUACCGAGCUAGAGUGUGUCAGAGGGAGGUGGAAUUCCGCGUGUAGCAGUGAAAUGCGUAGAUAUGCGGAGGAACACCGAUGGCGAAGGCAGCCUCCUGGGAUAACACUGACGCUCAUGCACGAAAGCGUGGGGAGCAAACAGGAUUAGAUACCUCUGGUAGUCCACGCCCUAAACGAUGUCAACUAGCUGUUGGGGCCUUCGGGCCUUGGUAGCGCAGCUAACGCGUGAAGUUGGACUGCCUGGGGAGUACGGUCGCAAGAUUAAAACUCAAAGGAAUUGACGGGGACCCGCACAAGCGGUGGAUGAUGUGGAUUAAUUGAUGCAACGCGAAAAACCUUACCUACCCUUGACAUGUCUGGAAUCCCGAAGAGAUUUGGGAGUGCUCGCAAGAGAACCGGAACACAGGUGCUGCAUGGCUGUCGUCAGCUCGUGUCGUGAUGCUGGGUUAAGUCCCGCAACGAGCGCAACCCUUGUCAUUAGUUGCUACGAAAGGGCACUCUAAUGAGACUGCCGGUGACAAACUGAGGAAGGUGAUGACGUCAAGUCCUCAUGGCCCUUAUGGGUAGGGCUUCACACGUCAUACAAUGGUCGGGACAGAGGGUCGCCAACUCCGCGAGGGGGAGCCAAUCCCAGAAACCCGAUCGUAGUCCGAUCGCAGUCUGCAACUCGACUGCGUGAAGUCGGAAUCGCUAGUAAUCGCGGAUCAGCAUGUCGCGGUGAAUACGUUCCCGGUCUUGUACACACCGCCCGUCACACCAUGGGAGUGGGUUUUACCAGAAGUGCAGUUAGCCUAACCGUAAGGGGAGGGCGAUUACCACGGUAGGAUUCAUGACUGGGGUGAAGUCGUAACAAGGUAA
Molecule: ribosomal RNA, 3975 nt
Filed under: uncultured Bordetella sp.
Lineage: Bacteria; Pseudomonadati; Pseudomonadota; Betaproteobacteria; Burkholderiales; Alcaligenaceae
Description: partial 16S-23S ribosomal RNA intergenic spacer
Rfam family: Bacterial small subunit ribosomal RNA (bases 2480-3975)
Source: RNAcentral